GAUGAACGCUGGCGGCGUGCUUAACACAUGCAAGUCGAACGAAGCACUUUUACAGAUUUCUUCGGAAUGAAGUUUUAGUGACUGAGUGGCGGACGGUGAGUAACGCGUGGGUAACCUGCCUCACACAGGGGGAUAACAGUUGGAAACGGCUGCUAAUACCGCAUAAGCGCACAGUACCGCAUGGUACAGUGUGAAAAAACUCCGGUGGUGUGAGAUGGACCCGCGUCUGAUUAGCUAGUUGGCAGGGCAACGGCCUACCAAGGCGACGAUCAGUAGCCGACCUGAGAGGUGACCGGCACGAUUGGGACUGAGACA
Molecule: ribosomal RNA, 315 nt
Filed under: uncultured bacterium
Lineage: Bacteria
Description: bacterial SSU rRNA
Rfam family: Bacterial small subunit ribosomal RNA
Source: RNAcentral